RNAcentral lists this transfer RNA (71 nucleotides) under Podarcis lilfordi (Lilford's wall lizard). RNAcentral's name for it is "tRNA.Lys". The stretch from base 5 to 62 matches the Rfam family "tRNA", at positions 8 to 63 of the family's 71-position model. From Rfam's summary of the family: Transfer RNA (tRNA) molecules are approximately 80 nucleotides in length. Their secondary structure includes four short double-helical elements and three loops (D, anti-codon, and T loops). Further hydrogen bonds mediate the characteristic L-shaped molecular structure. tRNAs have two regions of fundamental functional importance: the anti-codon, which is responsible for specific mRNA codon recognition, and the 3' end, to which the tRNAs corresponding amino acid is attached (by aminoacyl-tRNA synthetases). tRNAs cope with the degeneracy of the genetic code in two manners: having more than one tRNA (with a specific anti-codon) for a particular amino acid; and 'wobble' base-pairing, i.e. permitting non-standard base-pairing at the 3rd anti-codon position. The record is from RNAcentral. Lineage: Eukaryota; Metazoa; Chordata; Lepidosauria; Squamata; Lacertidae.
GGGAUAGCUCAGUUGGUAGAGCUUGAGGCUCUUAAUCUCAGGGUUGUGGGUUCGAGCCCCACAUUGGGUCA